UACGUAGGGGGCGAGCGUUGUUCGGAAUUACUGGGCGUAAAGGGCGCGCAGGCUGUUAAUCAAGUCAGCUGUUAAAUCGUGCGGCUUAACCGUAUGUUGCAGUUGAAACUGUUUGACUGGAGUAUCGGAGAGGUAAGCGGAAUUCCCAGUGUAGCGGUGAAAUGCGUAGAUAUUGGGAAGAACAUCGGUGGCGAAGGCGGCUUACUGGCCGGUAACUGACGCUGAGGCGCGAAAGCCAGGGUAGC
Molecule: ribosomal RNA, 245 nt
Filed under: uncultured Fretibacterium sp.
Lineage: Bacteria; Thermotogati; Synergistota; Synergistia; Synergistales; Aminobacteriaceae
Description: partial 16S ribosomal RNA
Rfam family: Bacterial small subunit ribosomal RNA
Source: RNAcentral